Molecule: long non-coding RNA, 278 nt
Organism: Bufo bufo (common toad)
Lineage: Eukaryota; Metazoa; Chordata; Amphibia; Anura; Bufonidae
Exons: 3
Source: RefSeq, a predicted model, not a curated record
GCUCUAGUAUGGGUCAAGGAGGUAGUGUAGGGUUAGGGAGUAAUGUGGCGUCGGUGCAAACGCAGGCGGGGGGGGUGGCGGAUGGAGAAACGGUGCGGCUGGAUGAUAAAGCAAGAGGGGAGGUAUAUGUCUGCUUUGAGGGUCCAUUGGGGGCUCAUUUAAAGCAGGAGGUAAGGGAGCGUAUUUGGAAGGGUGAAUAUGUAGACAUUUUUUCUUUGCUCCCAUUGGAUAAGUUUAACCUGGAUAGGUUAUGGAAGGAAGAGGGUAAAGAAGAGAAG